GAUGAAUGCUGGCGGCGUGCCUAAUACAUGCAAGUCGAGCGAACGGACGAGAAGCUUGCUUCUCUGAUGUUAGCGGCGGACGGGUGAGUAACACGUGGAUAACCUACCUAUAAGACUGGGAUAACUUCGGGAAACCGGAGCUAAUACCGGAUAAUAUUUUGAACCGCAUGGUUCAAAAGUGAAAGACGGUCUUGCUGUCACUUAUAGAUGGAUCCGCGCUGCAUUAGCUAGUUGGUAAGGUAACGGCUUACCAAGGCAACGAUGCAUAGCCGACCUGAGAGGGUGAUCGGCCACACUGGAACUGAGACACGGUCCAGACUCCUACGGGAGGCAGCAGUAGGGAAUCUUCCGCGAUGGGCGAAAGCCUGACGGAGCAACGCCGCGUGAGUGAUGAAGGUCUUCGGAUCGUAAAACUCUGUUAUUAGGGAAGAACAUAUGUGUAAGUAACUGUGCACAUCUUGACGGUACCUAAUCAGAAAGCCACGGCUAACUACGUG
RNAcentral lists this ribosomal RNA (497 nucleotides) under uncultured bacterium. RNAcentral's name for it is "partial 16S ribosomal RNA". It matches the Rfam family "Bacterial small subunit ribosomal RNA", at positions 28 to 507 of the family's 1533-position model. The record is from RNAcentral.